This 847-nucleotide long non-coding RNA is filed under the name Vulpes vulpes (red fox). RNAcentral's name for it is "lncRNA (ENSVVUG00000005814.1)". The record is from RNAcentral. Lineage: Eukaryota; Metazoa; Chordata; Mammalia; Carnivora; Canidae.
GGGGGAGGAAGGAAAGAGCAGAGGGAGAGGGAGAGAGAGGACAAGCAGACUCCCUGCUGAGCAGAGAGCUUAACAUGGGACUCCAUUCCAGGACUCUAGAUCAUGACUUAAGUGGAAGUCAAAUCCUUAAACAACUGAGCCAUCCAGGCACCCCCCCAUUGUUCCAUAAUUAAGAUAAUGUAUUAAAUUCAAAGUGAUUAUUACCUUUUACUUAGUAAUGGGAUGCUUAUUUUAGCAUUCUUUGUAAUAGUAAGAUAGAGAGUUGUCCAAGUAUAGUAUUUUUUGCCAUAUUCUCCACCAGUUAAAAAUAAUAAAAACUUUUUGAACUUUGCACAGAAAGAAUUCCAAAAGAAAUAGUUGAAUGAAAACUACAAGGAGCAGAAUGAUGAAACACAAAGCCACAAAAGUGAUUAAGCUGUGAGGAAAAACUGGUUCAAGAUAUUUUGAGUCACAUUGGGUAUAGACCUGCUGCCUAGUCAUCUGAUUCAAGAAGUUUUUGUACAACAUUAUGCAAGCAUUUUUGUCCCAUCAACACAAUCUUCACUUGCAUAUCACGUCCAGGAUUACUUUCUUCUAACCACCAGGAUCACACCAUCAAGAUGGAGAUAAUCCUGUAACAGAAAACUCAACCUUGAACGCACCCAGCACAGCAGUACUCCCACUUUCUGUGCUUAAGAGUUAUACCUCUACUAUUAUUAUUACUUUUACAACUACAUUUUUUAAACUGAAAAGUUACAUGAGUUAUGUUAAGCACUUAAAAUGCCUUAACCCCUAAAACAAAAAAAAAAAAAAAAAGAGAGAUGUGAGAUAUACUGAUUUUCUUUAUAAGAGAUUAAUAGAAAAAAAU